CUAUAUAUAUAUAUAUUUGUAGUAUGUACACAUAAUAUCCUGAUGAUAACAUUAACAUUUACACUCGCCCACUACACCUUCCACUGGGGUAUCUUCUUGUGCGGACGUUCAGAAUCCCGGUCAUAUAACCAGGCAGGACUGGUGGGGUUGGGGGUAUCUUGCCCCCCCCUCUAGUUCCAAGGAUCUGUGAUGGUUUCGGUAUCCCAAGGACUGAUUUAUACCGUGUAUCGAUGAGACUUCCACAUCAGAUACUGUAUAUGUGAAUAUAAGAUCAGUUUCGCAGAUCUUGUACCAUUGCAAAACUGUGACCACAGACAGCAUCAUGUGUAUCAACUAGUUUAACUGGAAAAUGUUUUUCUUUUUUCCCUUCCUCUCAUUAUUUUGUCAGAAUUUCAAUGAUAUUAAAUUUCAUUGACACGUUACCAUGGGGUUGAUGAAAAAAGGGAGGGGUGUGCCAGCCAUGCCACACGGUUAUAAUUAAUGGGUCUUGCACAUUUACUAUUUGGAUGGGAGAGUUACACCUUUAAUGAAUUAUUUAUUUCAUGGACAUUGAUUGAUAGGUGUUGUGAAGAUCAUGUCCUUUUUGAGGUUAACUUGUUUGAUAGGGUUGGCUUCUUAAUAUAACCUAGCUGUGGUUGUUAAAAAGAUACAACUUGAAUGAGCGAGGUUUGAAGAGCACAGGAAAGGUUAAUACAUGGAGGAAAAUCGUGCACUUGGUGGUGGGUGUGGCAUUGACUGGGUGGCAGGGCGUCAUUCUUUGGGCAGGGCUCUCAUUUCUCUGGAUGUCGUGUGACAUAUAUAUAUAUAUAUAUAUAUAUACACACACGGAUUCAUCCUCCAUUACCCUGACUCACCCUAAUUCAGCCUAACACAACCUGCACCUCUUUCUUUCUCCCCCCUCCCCCCAUCGCAGGUUGUUCUGAACUUAUUGCAGCAUCAUGAAUCCAGACAAGAAAUGCGGUACAAGUAAGCCUCCAUGUGAGCCUGCACAGCAGCCGCCCUAUAUUGCAGUUUGCCCACCUGGGCCUCCUUGUCCAACCGUUUGCCCUUUUCCACCAAUGAAACUUGUUGGUGAUAAGACAGUGUGCCCACCUGGGUUUAUUGAUCCAGGUGAUGGAAAUUAUCCUCCUCAACCAGUGGGAUUUUGUGGUACUGCUGAAUGGAUGAAUAGGCAGAAGGAAAAAAAGGAAAGGAAGAAGCAGAAGAAGGCAUUGAAAAAGUUGAGGAAGGAAAAGAACAAGAAGCUUGAAGAGUGUGACAAUGGCCUGACUGCCAAAGAAAAUGAAUUCUUCAACAGGACGAAAUUGGAAAUAAAGAUUUUGAAAACCAAGAUGAAGCAAGCCAAGAGAAGGAACAAGGGGGGAUCCGGCGAUGGCACAUGUGGCCUGACACCUGUCGAGAUGGAGGAGUUAACGAAGAAGAAGUCUCAAUUGAAACCUUUGAAGGAGAAGAAGAAACUUCACAAGAAAAACAAGGAGGGGCCCAGCUCGGAUGAUUCCGACACUGGCCUGACCCAAGAAGAGUAUAUAUGCUGGAAAACGUCAAAGACUGAAAAGAAACUUUUGAAGAAGAAAGCAAAAAAGAGAGCAACCGACGGUACUGCUGUUGGCUUGACAUGCACUGAAAAGGAAUGUCUCGUGGAACUGGAGAAUAAAUUGAAGGUGUUGAAGAAAAAGAAAAAAGCCUUCAAGAAAAAAAACAAGCCUGCUUCGGAUUCCGAUUCCGACUCUGACGUUGGACUGAAUGCUGAGGAGUUUCAAUGCUGGAAGACAAAUAAGUGCCAAAUUAAGUGCUUGAAGAAGAAGAAGAAGCAAGCCAAAAAGGCUCAUAAAAGGGCUACCAAGGAUGCUCCAUGUGCUGGCGUCGUUGAUUUCCUGACACCCAAGGAAAUGGAAGAGAUGAAGAAUCUGAAGGCAAAGAUGAAGGCACUGAAGCAAAAGAAGAGAGAAUACAAGAAAAAGAAUAAUAUUGAGGUUUCUUCAAGUUCAAGUGACUCUGAUGAAAAUCUGACACCGGAGCAAAAGCAAUAUAAAAAGCAGAUGAAGGAGCAAGGAAAGAUGUGCAAGAAAAUGAUGAAACAGCAAAAGAAGGCUGAGAAAGGCAAAAACAAGAAGCCUGGAGAUCCCGAGUUGAGUGAUUCCUCUGAUUCAUCCUCCAGCUCUUCAAGUUCUUCCUCCUCUUCCUCCAGUGAUAAUGAGUGCGGUGCAUGUCCCACCAAAUCCAAACCACCAUGUCCCCAAAUGCAGCAAAAGUGUCCUGGGUUGCCAAAAUAGUGAUGGAGUUUUCCAAAGGGUCACACUGGCCAUUAGGUCUCGUGACCAACACACGGCCUAUUUUUGCUUUUUCAUUCAGCUUCUAAUUAGUUAGCCUUGGCUAAAAUGGGUCAGUUUUGCAACAAAAAAUAUUUUACCUUGCUUUUCUUACAGGAACAUUCAUUUUAAUCACCAAAAACAAUCAUUAACUUUCUCAAUGCUGGUGAGUUUCUGUUUUAACGAUUUUUUUUUACCUCUCUCAUAAGAUGAGUUGAAACCCUUGAAAGGCUGAGUUUGGAAGUUGAAAGAAUAAUGUUGUACUGCUUGAUCCAACAGACUUGUGUUUUAAAAACUCCAGUUAUAAAAUGCUGAAAGAUACAAGAAACUUUUUUUUCUGAAAGACAUGUUCAGAAGUUUGCCGUUUUGACCACGGAGUGGUCUUUAACUGAGACGAAGCAGGACAUAUUGUAGCCAAACUCUGACUAUACCCCUUGAGAGAGGCUGAGGUGUGGGGGGGGGGGAUCCAAUGUCAAAAGAAGGAAGGGGUAGGAAAGAGGAACAUGAGAAAGGAGAAAAGGAAGAAGAGUUGGGUUGAAAGGAAUGAACGGGGCAGCUGAAACCAGAUACACUCACCCCACUCUCUUUUCUCCUUCACUCCUAUCAACUACUCCAAUUUCCCCCCACUGCCACUUUCCUCAACCUUCCCCCUUCACUCUCUUCUUCAUUCAUCCACCAUUUCCCUCCCCUUUCUCACAAUCCUUUGGUCUGCCACCAGCUCAGCGUACCUGUCCUGCUACGUCCCAGUUGAAGUGCACUUUGUGUUCAAUACACUGAAGCUCUGAGACUUUACUGUCCAAAAAAAAAAAUUCGUUAUUUGGUGAUAUUUUGUUUUCAUUGUUUUGUAAUCUCUGCACCUUUGAAAUGUGAUCUAAACUACACUUCGUUUGUCCUUUGUCAUGCAAUCAUGAUUUAUUGUGGUGGAUUAUUCAGGAUUAUAUGGGAAUUUUUUCUGUAUCCGAGGGAAUGGUGAAAUAAACGAUUAAAACUUUAUUGCAGCAUCUUAUUCAAACAAAUAAAUUCUUAUCGAACUUUGUUUCUUAUUUGGAUACUUCAGUUACAAGGUAAAUGGAAGAGCUAGUUGACAAAGGGUAAAAUAUAAUGUACUGAUAGGACAGUGUGGCAACAGUCAGACAUGAUGAGGAAAGACAAUAACUGGCAAGUAAGAGGGUUAGGCUCUGAUUUUGAUGGAACAUACUCUGUCACAGAGCAUUGGUGCUGUUAAAGUAGUUUAUUGGCAAUAGUUAUACUAGGU
RNAcentral lists this long non-coding RNA (3564 nucleotides) under Eptatretus burgeri (inshore hagfish). RNAcentral's name for it is "lncRNA (ENSEBUG00000017098.1)". The record is from RNAcentral. Lineage: Eukaryota; Metazoa; Chordata; Myxini; Myxiniformes; Myxinidae.